GACGAACGCUGGCGGCGUGCUUAACACAUGCAAGUCGAACGGAAAGACCCUGCUUUUGUGGGGUGCUCGAGUGGCGAACGGGUGAGUAACACGUGAGUAACCUGCCCUUGACUUUGGGAUAACUUCAGGAAACUGGGGCUAAUACCGGCUAGGAGCUCCUGCUGCAUGGUGGGGGUUGGAAAGUUUCGGCGGUUGGGGAUGGACUCGCGGCUUAUCAGCUUGUUGGUGGGGUAGUGGCCUACCAAGGCUUUGACGGGUAGCCGGCCUGAGAGGGUGACCGGCCACAUUGGGACUGGGAUACGGCCCAGACUCCUACGAGAGGCAGCAGUGGGGAAUAUUGCACAAUGGGCGGAAGCCUGAUGCAGCAACGCCGCGUGCGGGAUGACGGCCUUCGGGUUGUAAACCGCUUUCGCCUGUGACGAAGCGUGAGUGACGGUAAUGUGUAAAGAAGCACCGGCUAACUACGUG
Molecule: ribosomal RNA, 468 nt
Filed under: uncultured bacterium
Lineage: Bacteria
Description: partial 16S ribosomal RNA
Rfam family: Bacterial small subunit ribosomal RNA
Source: RNAcentral